UACAGAGGUCUCAAGCGUUGUUCGGAUUCAUUGGGCGUAAAGGGUGUGUAGGCGGCGCCGCAAGUCAGGUGUGAAAUCUCGGGGCUUAACUCCGAAACUGCAUUUGAUACUGCGGUGCUUGAGGACUGGAGAGGAGACUGGAAUUUACGGUGUAGCGGUGAAAUGCGUAGAUAUCGUAAGGAAGACCAGUGGCGAAGGCGGGUCUCUGGACAGUUCCUGACGCUGAGGCACGAAGGUCAGGGGAGCAAACGGG
Molecule: ribosomal RNA, 253 nt
Filed under: uncultured bacterium
Lineage: Bacteria
Description: partial 16S ribosomal RNA
Rfam family: Bacterial small subunit ribosomal RNA
Source: RNAcentral